This 87-nucleotide ribosomal RNA is filed under the name Podophyllum tsayuense. RNAcentral's name for it is "Dysosma tsayuensis partial 5.8S ribosomal RNA". It matches the Rfam family "5.8S ribosomal RNA", at positions 73 to 154 of the family's 154-position model. Rfam says of the family: 5.8S ribosomal RNA (5.8S rRNA) is a component of the large subunit of the eukaryotic ribosome. It is transcribed by RNA polymerase I as part of the 45S precursor that also contains 18S and 28S rRNA. The record is from RNAcentral. Lineage: Eukaryota; Viridiplantae; Streptophyta; Magnoliopsida; Ranunculales; Berberidaceae.
UGCAGAAUCCCGUGAACCAUCGAGUCUUUGAACGCAAGUUGCGCCCAAGGCCAUUAGGCUGAGGGCACGUCUGCCUGGGCGUCAUGC